Long non-coding RNA from Macrobrachium nipponense, 461 nucleotides. RefSeq lists it as uncharacterized. The record is from RefSeq and is a predicted model, not a curated record. The transcript has 5 exons. Lineage: Eukaryota; Metazoa; Arthropoda; Malacostraca; Decapoda; Palaemonidae.
UCAGACCCCUUUGAUAGUGACAGCGACCCAGAUGACCCUGAGCCUUUCCAUGGUUUUGAUGCCUCGCCCUAUUCAUCAGAUCUAGAUGUUCCCUCAUCAGUUGAUACGAGUAGUAUCACCUCUCCAGAGCCCAAAUCAGUUGAUACGAGUAGUAUCACCUCUCCCAUUCCUUCAGACUCCCAAGCACCUGCCCAUCCUACUCCAUAGCCCAGCCACCCACUCAUCUACCAUAUGCCCAUCCCAGUAAGCAAGCCAACCACUAGAAUUUGACUGGCAUGCACCUGUGACUUACAUAAACCAGACCUCUACAUAGCCUACAUGUCUUCAUUUUGCUGAAGACUGCCCAUCAUCCUAGCCUGUUAUCUGUGAUAAAGCACACUGAAGUUAGGUUUGGAAUGCAUCCUUAUCAUGAAUGCUCUACACCUCCACCUCCAUCUCCCACAACCUAGGUAACAGCUUUG